UACGGAAGGCAGCAGUGGGGAAUUUUGGACAAUGGGCGCAAGCCUGAUCCAGCAAUGCCGCGUGAGUGAAGAAGGCCUUCGGGUUGUAAAGCUCUUUUGUCAGGGAAGAAACGGGUGAGGCUAAUAUCCUUGCCUAAUGACGGUACCUGAAGAAUAAGCACCGGCUAACUACGUGCCAGCAGCCGCGGUAAUACGUAGGGUGCAAGCGUUAAUCGGAAUUACUGGGCGUAAAGCGUGCGCAGGCGGUUGUGCAAGACAGAUGUGAAAAUCCCCGGGCUUAACCUGGGAAUUGCAUUUUGUGACUGCACGGCUAGAGUGUGUCAGAGGGGGUAGAAUUCCACGUGUAGCAGUGAAAUGCGUAGAUAUGUGGAGGAAUACCGAUGGGCGAAAGGGCAGCCCCUGGGGAUAACACUGACGCUCAUGCACGAAAGCGUGGGGAGCAAACAAGGAUUAGAUACC
RNAcentral lists this ribosomal RNA (459 nucleotides) under uncultured bacterium. RNAcentral's name for it is "bacterial SSU rRNA". It matches the Rfam family "Bacterial small subunit ribosomal RNA", at positions 340 to 786 of the family's 1533-position model. The record is from RNAcentral.